RNAcentral lists this transfer RNA (76 nucleotides) under Candidatus Methylomirabilota bacterium. RNAcentral's name for it is "tRNA-Lys". It matches the Rfam family "tRNA". From Rfam's summary of the family: Transfer RNA (tRNA) molecules are approximately 80 nucleotides in length. Their secondary structure includes four short double-helical elements and three loops (D, anti-codon, and T loops). Lineage: Bacteria; Methylomirabilota (SeqCode). RNAcentral also lists the same sequence under 1 other name. The record is from RNAcentral.
GACCCGUUAGCUCAGUUGGCAGAGCACCUGCCUUUUAAGCAGGGGGCCGCUGGUUCGAAUCCAGCACGGGUCACCA